Molecule: long non-coding RNA, 976 nt
Filed under: Homo sapiens (human)
Lineage: Eukaryota; Metazoa; Chordata; Mammalia; Primates; Hominidae
Description: HSALNT0296578
Source: RNAcentral
CCGGAACCACAUCUGCUCCUCCAGAGCGUAACAGGUAACAGUCCCUUCUUUGGAUGCAGUUAACUAUGAUGCAACAGAAGAGAUAUGUGCCUAGAUACGAAUUCACAACAUGUAGCCUCCGCUCGGUUGAUGAUUAGACUUUAUACUAAAGGAAUAAAAGCAGCAGAGGUGUUGGGUGUUUUUAGCAUUCUCACUCUCACAGCAUUGCUCAGAGUCCAGGCUGAUGAUAAUCUGGGCUGAGAAGCAGAAAGACUCAGUCCCCAGCUGUCCACGGCCCCUCUCAGUACUGUAUGGAAUAGGUAUGCCUCUCAGUGUUUUCCAAUGAUAGCUGUAGCCCUGUCCUGGCCAACUGGUCAGCUGAGCUACCCUUUGCACAGAUGUAUGUGGGAUAGUCUUGGAGCCUAUCCUGUGUACGUGGGAUAGUCUCGGAGCCUAUCCUAUACCACAAGCAGCUUUGGAAUAAACAUCCUCUUUGGUGUGGAAUGAGAGCUUAGUCAUCCAAGGAAAAAAUGCGAAAAGAGGGAGGAAAUGAUUACCUCUGCUUCUUAAAAUCUUUUUGAAUGAACAUGGGUGGAACUGGAAGCGAUUAUCCUCAGCAAACUCAUGCAGGAACAGAAAACCAAAUACCACACGUUCUCACUUAUAAGUGGAGGCUAAAUGAGGAGAACACACUGGGGGCAACACCAGACACUGGGGCCUAACAGAUGAUGGAAGGUGGGAGGAGGGAUAGGAUCAGGAAAAAUAAUUAAUAGCUACUAGGCUGAGUACCUGGGUGAUGAAAUAAUCUGUACAACAAACCCCCUAUCACACGAGUUUACCUAUACAACAAACCUGCACAUGCACCCCUGAACUUAAAAUAAAAGUUAAGAAAAAAACACAGAAUAUUGCUAUCAGUGAAAAUCCUUUUUUGACACCACUAGUAAUUAAACUCAUUGAAUUUACAUUCCAACUGGGGUAAUGAAUCACUUCCUCAUCC